Molecule: ribosomal RNA, 468 nt
Filed under: uncultured bacterium
Lineage: Bacteria
Description: bacterial SSU rRNA
Rfam family: Bacterial small subunit ribosomal RNA
Source: RNAcentral
GAUGAACGCUGGCGGCGUGCUUAACACAUGCAAGUCGAACGAAGCACUCUAUUUGAUUUUCUUCGGAAAUGAAGAUUUUGUGGCUGAGUGGCGGACGGGUGAGUAACGCGUGGGUAACCUGCCUCAUACAGGGGGAUAACAGUUGGAAACGACUGCUAAUACCGCAUAAGCGCACAGGAUUGCAUGAUCCGGUGUGAAAAACUCCGGUGGUAUGAGAUGGACCCGCGUCUGAUUAGCCAGUUGGCAGGGUAACGGCCUACCAAAGCGACGAUCAGUAGCCGACCUGAGAGGGUGACCGGCCACAUUGGGACUGAGACACGGCCCAAACUCCUACGGGAGGCAGCAGUGGGGAAUAUUGCACAAUGGGGGAAACCCUGAUGCAGCGACGCCGCGUGAGCGAAGAAGUAUUUCGGUAUGUAAAGCUCUAUCAGCAGGGAAGAAGAAUGACGGUACCUGACUAAGAAGCAC